AUGGACAACCCGCUGAACCUCCCUCCUGGUUCGGUGCAGCCAAACUUCGGCUCGGCCUUCUACGCCCGCAAGCCAGGAAGUGCUGCAACAGCGGUAUCGCUCUCCCAGGCGCUGCCACUGUGGCCUCCAGUGCCAUGGCCUACACUAAUGGUUAGGAAGCACCACAUGCCAUUUCCUGCUCAACCCGCAGCUAAGAAGCUGCAGGUGCGGCGUUCGCCUGUGCUGUCACAAGAUUUACCAUUGCGGGAGGCAUUGCAAGUUGCAGAGCUGCCACCACCAAGGGUACAACUGCGCCCAUUGCAACAGGCACCCCCAGUUCUGAAACAAUCGUUGCCCAAGACGGAGGUGCCGGUGGUGCUGCCAAUGCGUGCAACCUCUGUAGACGUGAGAUGGAAUGCUCGAUAUCCGUGGAGUGAAACAUCAUGCGAAUCCACAGACAGGACAUCAAGGAGGAAACAAUGCAAGUGCAAGAACUCGAAAUGUCUGAAAAAGUAUUGUGAGUGUUUUGCAUCAGGUAGAUACUGCAAUGAUUGCAACUGCAAAAACUGUUAUAAUAAUGUUGGUCAUGAGGCUGCAAGACAGGAUGCUAUCGAUGCUGCAAUGGAAAGGAAUCCUAUGGCCUUUAUGCCCAAAAUUGGGAACAUCCCUCCACAUGCAGCCCAGAACUGCGAGUUUAAAGUAGCAGAAGGCCCUCUUGUGGGUAAGCACACGAAGGGGUGCCACUGCAAGAGAUCCGAGUGCCUGAAGAAAUACUGUGAGUGCUUUCGAUCUAAUAUUCUUUGUUCAGAGAACUGCAAAUGUAUGGAUUGCAAGAACUAUGAGAGCAAUGAAGAUAGGAAAGCAAUACGACGUAUCACCCGGCACCAGCAGCACCUUGUCUAUGCACAUCAUAUGCAGAAUCCUGCUAUAAUGGGUAUUACUGGACCAUAUGCGGCUCUUUCUCCUGCAGCAGAAAAGCUCUCCAAUCUCUCAGUGGCUUCUUCAGGCAGAGAUCAGCUCAUCAGCAACAAUGAUUCUUCACAAGUGACUUCGUCUUUGCUCACUCCUGUACCUAUAGAAGGCACUAAAAGUGCCGUCAAAGUAGAACCGCAUGGAGUUACUUACAGGCCACUUUUAGCUGAUGUUAUCCAGAUAGAGAAUGUCAAUGAGCUCUGUAAAGUAUUGCUUCUAGUAUCAAGGCAAGCUGCUGGAGCAUCCGUAGGUGUUAAGGAGAACAUAAAUAGAAGAAAAAUAGAUCGAGCUGAUAGUUGCCUUUCUUCCAUAAACCAUGACACGGAAGCAGUUGAGAAACAGCGCGAUGAACAAGUCUGCUUAACAGAAAACAGUUUAACCGCAGUUCCUGUUUCUGAAGUAAGGGCAGGAACGCCAAGAUACGACCCUACUAAUACAUGUAAGUAUGACAGAAGACCGGUGUCCCCUGAAACCCAGGAACUGAUGUGUAACGAGCAAGAUCGGCUUUUCCUGACACCAAGCGUUGCAGCUGUAAUUCCCUCGGCCACCAAACAGAGAUUGCCAGACACUUACAAAGAGCAAGAGAAGCGUAUUCUGAAAACCUUGCAUGACUAUCUUGGUGAGCUUGUCAACUGCGGAAGGCUUCAUGAAGAGAAGCUCUCUUUGAUGUCAUCGAAGUUCUUGCACGAGCGAACUUCUGUCGGUAGCAGCUGCGGUUCGUCGUCCAUAUCGAGGGUCACAGAGGUUGCUAGGGUUGGACAAACAAUCCGACAGUCGCUCCAUUCUCCAGCAAGUGUCAAGUCACCAGGUCUGUAG
RNAcentral lists this ribosomal RNA (1767 nucleotides) under Triticum aestivum (bread wheat). RNAcentral describes it as "partial small subunit ribosomal RNA". Lineage: Eukaryota; Viridiplantae; Streptophyta; Magnoliopsida; Poales; Poaceae. The record is from RNAcentral.